CAAUAGCGUAUAUUAAAGCUGUUGCGGUUAAAAAGCUCGUAGUUGGAUUUCUGUCGAGGACAACUGGUCCGCCCUCCGGGUGAGCACAUAGUUUGGUCUUGGCAUCUUGCUGGAAACUGUUGCUGCACUUGGCUGUGUGGCGCAGCGUCCAGCACUUUCACUUUGAGGAAAUUGGAGUGUUUCAAGCAGGCACAUGCCUUUGGACACAGUAGCAUGGAAUAAUUAGAUUGGGCUUUUGCUCCAAUUUGUCGGUUUCUGGAGCUGAGGUGAGAAUUAAUGGGGAUUGUUGGGGGCAUCCGAAUUUAGCCGUCAGAGGUGAAAUUCUUGGAUCUGCUAAAGACGGACAACUGCGAAAGCGUUUGUCCAGGAUGUUUUCAUUGA
This 381-nucleotide ribosomal RNA is filed under the name uncultured eukaryote. Its description in RNAcentral is "partial 18S ribosomal RNA". It matches the Rfam family "Eukaryotic small subunit ribosomal RNA", at positions 592 to 976 of the family's 1831-position model. The record is from RNAcentral.